Molecule: long non-coding RNA, 461 nt
Filed under: Vitis vinifera (wine grape)
Lineage: Eukaryota; Viridiplantae; Streptophyta; Magnoliopsida; Vitales; Vitaceae
Description: long non-coding RNA (VVIN_LNC004430)
Source: RNAcentral
GCUAUUAUUAUUUUUUUGAUUGUAUUUUGACAUCUAAAAUGAUAUUGGAAAUGGAUGACAUGGGAAAAUUGAUAACUCCAUAUGAUUAAAACCUAGGAUUAUGAUCAUUAAUCCUCAAAAAAGUGGGUGAAGAUGAAAAAGGAUUAAAAAAAAAAAUGUUUUUAUACCCAAUUUUGAGAAGAAAUGGUAUUUAGUGUCAAUCUGUUAACCAAUAUUUUGCAUAAAGACAUAAACCCUUAAAAAUAUAAUUAAUGUCUCAAAUAAUUAAGAAAAACCUUCAUAGUAUUAAACUCACUAUUGGAAUGCCCAAUUUCGCACUAAUGUAUUAAGAAUUAAUUUAACUUCUUCGCCUAUCUCCACCAUGGUAAUAGUCAUUUCAAACAAUAUUUUUUUCAUACUAGGAAGAAUUUCACAUUAUUUUUAUCAUACAUUUUUCCAGUCUCACUCUUUGAAAUCGGUUG